GGAACAAGGACUGGGCAAGACCGGUGCCAGCCGCCGCGGUAAUACCGGCAGUCCAAGUGAUGGCCGAUAUUAUUGGGCCUAAAGCGUCCGUAGC
Molecule: ribosomal RNA, 94 nt
Filed under: Haloarcula amylolytica JCM 13557
Lineage: Archaea; Methanobacteriati; Methanobacteriota; Halobacteria; Halobacteriales; Haloarculaceae
Also listed under: 2 other names
Description: partial 16S ribosomal RNA
Rfam family: Archaeal small subunit ribosomal RNA
Source: RNAcentral